This 467-nucleotide ribosomal RNA is filed under the name uncultured bacterium. RNAcentral describes it as "bacterial SSU rRNA". It matches the Rfam family "Bacterial small subunit ribosomal RNA", at positions 335 to 799 of the family's 1533-position model. The record is from RNAcentral.
ACUCCUACGGGAGGCAGCAGUGAGGAAUAUUGCGCAAUGGAGGCAACUCUGACGCAGCCAUGCCGCGUGCAGGAAGACGGCCCUACGGGUUGUAAACUGCUUUUAUCCGGGAAGAAUCCCCAGUUCGUGAACUGGGUUGACGGUACCGGAGGAAUAAGCACCGGCUAACUCCGUGCCAGCAGCCGCGGUAAUACGGAGGGUGCGAGCGUUAAUCGGAAUUACUGGGCGUAAAGCGCAUGCAGGCGGCCUGUUAAGUCAGAUGUGAAAGCCCGGGGCUUAACCUCGGAAUUGCAUUUGAAACUGGCAGGCUAGAGUCUUGUAGAGGGGGUAGAAUUUCAGGUGUAGCGGUGAAAUGCGUAGAGAUCUGAAGGAAUACCAGUGGCGAAGGCGGCCCCCUGGACAAAGACUGACGCUCAGAUGCGAAAGCGUGGGGAGCAAACAGGAUUAGAUACCCUGGUAGGAUAGCG